AGAGUUUGAUCCUGGCUCAGGAUGAACGCUAGCUACAGGCUUAACACAUGCAAGUCGAGGGGCAUCAGGGAUUAGCAAUAAUCCGCUGGCGACCGGCGCACGGGUGAGUAACACGUAUUCAACCUUCCGAUAACUCGGGGAUAGCCUUUCGAAAGAAAGAUUAAUACUCGAUAGUAUAUUUUCUUCGCAUGUUGAAAAUAUUAAAGAAUUUCGGUUAUCGAUGGGAAUGCGUUCCAUUAGGCAGUUGGCGGGGUAACGGCCCACCAAACCUACGAUGGAUAGGGGUUCUGAGAGGAAGGUCCCCCACAUUGGAACUGAGACACGGUCCAAACUCCUACGGGAGGCAGCAGUGAGGAAUAUUGGUCAAUGGGCGGGAGCCUGAACCAGCCAAGUAGCGUGAAGGACGACGGCCCUACGGGUUGUAAACUUCUUUUAUAAGGGAAUAAAGUUCGCCACGUGUGGUGUUUUGUAUGUACCUUAUGAAUAAGCAUCGGCUAAUUCCGUGCCAGCAGCCGCGGUAAUACAGAAGAUGCGAGCGUCAUCCGGAUUUAUUGGGUUUAAAGCGAGCGCAGGCGGUUCUUAAGUCUGAUGUGAAAGCCCACGGCUCAACCGUGGAAGGUCAUUGGAAACUGGGGAACUUGAGUGCAGAAGAGGAGAGUGGAAUUCCAUGUGUAGCGGUGAAAUGCGUAGAUAUAUGGAGGAACACCAGUGGCGAAGGCGACUCUCUGGUCUGUAACUGACGCUGAGGCUCGAAAGCGUGGGGAGCAAACAGGAUUAGAUACCCUGUAGUCCACGCCGUAAACGAUGAGUGCUAAGUGUUGGAGGGUUUCCACCCUUCAGUGCUGCAGCUAACGCAUUAAGCACUCCGCCUGGGGAGUACGGCCGCAAGGCUGAACUCAAGGAAUUGACGGGGACCCGCACAAGCGGUGGAGCAUGUGGUUUAUUCGAGCACGCGAGACCUUACCAGGUCUUGACAUCCUUUGACAUCCUAGGGAUAGGACUUUCCCUUCGGGACAAGUGACAGGUGGUGCAUGGUUGUCGUCAGCUCGUGUCGUGAGAUGUUGGGUUAAGUCCCGCAACGAGCGCAACCCCUAUUGUUAGUUGCCAGCAUUCAGUUGGGCACUCUAAUGAGACUGCCGGUGACAAACCGGAGGAAGGUGGGGAUGACGUCAAAUCAUCAUGCCCCUUAUGACCUGGGCUACACACGUGCUACAAUGGAUGGUACAACGAGCAGCAAGACCGCGAGGUCAAGCGAAUCUCUUAAAGCCAUUCUCAGUUCGGAUUGCAGGCUGCAACUCGCCUGCAUGAAGCCGGAAUCGCUAGUAAUCGCGGAUCAGCACGCCGCGGUGAAUACGUUCCCGGGUCUUGUACACACCGCCCGUCACACCACGAGAGUUUGUAACACCCGAAGUCGGUGAGGUAACCUUUAUGGAGCCAGCCGCCUAAGGUGGGACAGAUGAUUGGGGUGAAGUCGUAACAAGGUAACC
This 1487-nucleotide ribosomal RNA is filed under the name uncultured bacterium. RNAcentral describes it as "partial 16S ribosomal RNA". It matches the Rfam family "Bacterial small subunit ribosomal RNA". The record is from RNAcentral.